AGCUGUUCAAGUCAGCGUCCUGCCCUCCCUCCGCGGGAAUAAGAAAUGAGUACAUUUUAAAUUAGAUAAGUAAAUUUUUUUUCUUUUCUUUUUCUUUUUUUUCUCCGUAGAAAAUGCAUCGAGUUUUUAUUUUAAUAAAAGGAUUGUCACCUGGAAUCGUUUUCCAACAAUCUUGAAGAGGUGUUGAGUGCUUGUUGGCUGCUUUUCCUUCGCUCUCCGAUCCAACUCAUUCCAAACCAUCUCAGCUGGAUUUGGAUCAGAUUCCAGGUCCAUGUUUUCCUCGCCGCUGCUUCAUCCUGACUCAUUGUGGUCACAUUUGCAAAGAUGCACGGCGCUCGCCAGGCGCGUUACACACUCGAUGACCUCACUGAAUCUUCUAAUGCAGCCGAGCCUGUGGAACUGAUUACUGUGGACUGGAGUUGCUCAUUUAUGCCCAAUACGUAACCUCAGGAGAAUUUAAAUGUCUCUUUUUUAUGGGUCUGGUCUGGCAAGACACAUUUUUAUCGGUGGCACUGUUCCAAAUCGGCUUGUUGCAGGCAAAUGUUUUUGUUUUUUUUGUGCCCCUCUGAAAUGUGGAGGGGAAAAAAGACGGGAUCAUAUACAGACCACGUGGAUAAAAGCAAAGAAUUGAAUUCAUUGUAUUAUUAAUUAAUCUUUUUUUCUAUACUACGUCUUGGGGGAUUUUAUAUGUUCAUUCGAUUGCAUUUUUCUGAACUCUAAUCAGUUAAGUGGCAGCCUUGAAAAGAAGUAGAGUGUCGGAGGUGUGGGUCAGUGUAAUUGACCGGACUGACCCCAUCCCCCUUAGCUCAUGAUGGAGGAGCUGGAGGUUUGUGUGGCUCGAGGAACAAUUAAAGCUGUACUGCAUUAAUAAAUCCAGCAGACGACA
Molecule: long non-coding RNA, 886 nt
Organism: Silurus meridionalis
Lineage: Eukaryota; Metazoa; Chordata; Actinopteri; Siluriformes; Siluridae
Exons: 3
Source: RefSeq, a predicted model, not a curated record